This is a long non-coding RNA of Telopea speciosissima, 123 nucleotides long. RefSeq lists it as uncharacterized. NCBI's taxonomy places the organism in Eukaryota, Viridiplantae, Streptophyta, Magnoliopsida, Proteales, Proteaceae. The transcript has 3 exons. The record is from RefSeq and is a predicted model, not a curated record.
UCCAAAAUUUUUUUUAAAAGUAUCCAAGGAUGAGAAAAGUUUGAAGACAUAUUUAGAGAGCAACAGCUUUGCCACAUUUGAUAUCUCAUGAGAAGAUAAAGCAAUUGUAUUUAAGACACAAAA